AGAGUUUGAUCCUGGCUCAGGAUGAACGCUGGCGGCGUGCUUAACACAUGCAAGUCGAGCGAGAAAAGUUCUUCGGAGCUUUUCUAGCGGCGGACGGGUGAGUAACACGUGGGCAACCUGCCUCAUAGAGGGGAAUAGCCUUCCGAAAGGAAGAUUAAUACCGCAUAACAUUGUUGAAAGGCAUCUUUUAACAAUCAAAGGAGCAAUCCGCUUUGAGAUGGGCCCGCGGCGCAUUAGCUAGUUGGUGAGGUAACGGCUCACCAAGGCGACGAUGCGUAGCCGACCUGAGAGGGUGAUCGGCCACAUUGGAACUGAGACACGGUCCAGACUCCUACGGGAGGCAGCAGUGGGGAAUAUUGCACAAUGGGGGAAACCCUGAUGCAGCAACGCCGCGUGAGUGAUGAAGGUCUUCGGAUUGUAAAGCUCUGUCUUUAGGGACGAUAAUGACGGUACCUGACUAAGAAGCACCGGCUAAAUACGUGCCAGCAGCCGCGGUAAUACGUAUGGUGCAAGCGUUAUCCGGAUUUACUGGGUGUAAAGGGAGCGUAGGUGGCAAGGCAAGCCAGAAGUGAAAACCCGGGGCUCAACCGCGGGAUUGCUUUUGGAACUGUCAUGCUAGAGUGCAGGAGGGGUGAGCGGAAUUCCUAGUGUAGCGGUGAAAUGCGUAGAUAUUAGGAGGAACACCGGAGGCGAAGGCGGCUCACUGGACUGUAACUGACACUGAGGCUCGAAAGCGUGGGGAGCAAACAGGAUUAGAUACCCUGGUAGUCCACGCGGUAAACGAUGAAUACUAGAUGUCGGGUAGCAAAGCUAUUCGGUGUCGUCGCAAACGCAAUAAGUAUUCCACCUGGGGAGUACGUUCGCAAGAAUGAAACUCAAAGGAAUUGACGGGGACCCGCACAAGCGGUGGAGCAUGUGGUUUAAUUCGACGCAACGCGAAGAACCUUACCAAGUCUUGACAUCCUCUGACGAACGUAGAAAUACGUUUUCUCUUCGGAGCAGAGAGACAGGUGGUGCAUGGUUGUCGUCAGCUCGUGUCGUGAGAUGUUGGGUUAAGUCCCGCAACGAGCGCAACCCUUAUGGUCAGUUACUACGCAAGAGGACUCUGGCCAGACUGCCGUUGACAAAACGGAGGAAGGUGGGGAUGACGUCAAAUCAUCAUGCCCUUUAUGACUUGGGCUACACACGUACUACAAUGGCGUUAAACAAAGAGAAGCAAGACCGCGAGGUGGAGCAAAACUCAGAAACAACGUCCCAGUUCGGACUGCAGGCUGCAACUCGCCUGCACGAAGUCGGAAUUGCUAGUAAUCGCAGAUCAGCAUGCUGCGGUGAAUACGUUCCCGGG
RNAcentral lists this ribosomal RNA (1345 nucleotides) under uncultured bacterium. RNAcentral describes it as "partial 16S ribosomal RNA". It matches the Rfam family "Bacterial small subunit ribosomal RNA", at positions 8 to 1378 of the family's 1533-position model. The record is from RNAcentral.